Molecule: long non-coding RNA, 5657 nt
Filed under: Pan troglodytes (chimpanzee)
Lineage: Eukaryota; Metazoa; Chordata; Mammalia; Primates; Hominidae
Description: lincRNA
Source: RNAcentral
GCUUUCCGGCGUUGGGGUUGCAGCUUCACCCUCGCAGACUCGGCUUAGCGAGCGAGUCGGUGCUUCCGCGGAUCAAAAUUAUUAGCCGUUUUAUUAGAGCCCAUUAAACGUUGCAUAAACAUGGUUCAGAGCUGCCUGGGAGAAGAAAAGCCAAAGGAUGCCACCCUCUCGAUUUAUCCCACCCGCGGGAGUCUGAAAGCCGACGCUAGGAGAAAUCCCGCGAAGGCCGCCCGGGAUCCUGGUAGAGGCGACGCUGUGUGCGUUUAUGGAGCGCUUGCGGUGCGUGGCACUAGGCUGGGUGUGGUGGGUGCUGCCGAAAAAAAGGUUCCUCCCAUCCAUUUGCACGUCACCCUUCCCACCUCCUGCCCAGAUGGACAGAAGUGAGGACAUUCAUCGGCCGCAUUUUACUAAUGGCAAGGAGAUAGCGACUGAAGGGCAAGAACCUAGGGUUUCCUGUCUUUGAUAUUUCUCAUCUUUGAGAGAAGCCAGUAUUUGGAGAUGUUUACCCUGCUGUUUUGGUCCGUUGUCCACUUUACUUGAUAUUGGGAUAUAUCAAGAGACCACUAUACCUUGAGUGUAAAAUACAGGUAUAUUCCUUCCUGCCAUCAUCGUGUAGCAAUAACGCUACUUCCUCCUGAUGAUUGGAUUCAUUUACCCCAACUAACAUGGUGACUCUUCCUUGCCUGCUGGUCUCCUAGCACAAGGACCCUGAACUGGGAAACCUCAGCAAGUUAAAGUUUAAAGGAUCUAUUAUUGUGUCUCUUGAUGAAAAGGUUCCUCUCUUGGGAAUCAGGACUUCUAGAUUCACAAAGUUGCGGGGAUGAGAAGUCCAAACUCCCCACAUGGGUCACUGGGAGUGAGAGUAUGUGGUUAUAUUAAUUUCCUAUCACUGCUAUGACACUACGAACUUAGUGGUUUCAAACAACACAAAUUUAUUUUCUUACAGUUCUGGAAGCCUAAAAUCAAGAUAUCAACAGGACUGUUUUUCCUGAAGUCUUCAAGAAAAAGUCUGUUUCCUUGCCUUUUUCAACUUCUAGAGGCUACCUACAUUUCUUGACUCAUGGCCCCUUACUCAUAUCACCCCAUCCUCCUGCUUAAGUCAUUGCAUCUACUAAGCAAAUCUGCCUCUCUCUUGUAAGAAUCUUUAUGAUUAUAUUGGGCCUAUUGGAUAGUCCAGGAUAAUCUCUGUAUCUUGAGGUCAUUAACUUAGUCAUAUCCACAAAGUCUCUUUUAUCUUGAAGGUAAAAUAUUCAUAGAAUCCAGGUAUUAGGAUCUGAACAUAUUUGGGGGCCAUUAUUCAGCCUACUACACAGUAGGAAUUCUAUUUAUAUCCUUUCAUUCCCAAACAUGCAUGUUAUGUAUAUAUGAGACACAGCACCAUAAAAUAAGUGUUGAUUUAGAGUAUAUACUGUACCCUGGUGGACAAGGUCAUUCCAUUUUCACAGGCUAUUAUCUUCAAGCUUUUGCUUCAGUUUCACCUUCAAAAGGGUUUUCCAUCAUUCCAUCAGACCAGCAUUUUCUCGGUUAUAUAGUAUGUGAUAGGACUAGUGGAUCUCAUGGUUAUGUACCUGCUGAUAGACCUCCUUUGCUGUAAAGUGGGUCCCUAAAUCAAAGGCAAUAUUACACAGGAUACAUGUUGAUGGAUCAAAUACCUGUAAACCUGUGAAUAGUAGAGCUGGCCAACAACUUAUAGGCAAGGAAGUCAAACUCAUACAUGCAGAUGGGCAGUUUCUAGUCAAGGAGAAUCACUGCCCAUUCUAGGAUGGAAGGAAUCCAACAUAAAUCAACUUGCUGCCCAAGUAGCUGUUUGGUAUCCUUGAGGGUUGGUGCUGUAUCAGGAACUUGGUGUUUAACACUGGGGAGUGGCUAUUUUGUUGUUGUUGUUGUUGUUUGGUUUGGUUUGAGACGGAGUUUCACUGGUUGCCCAGGCUGGAGUGCAGUGGUGCCAUCUCGGCUCACUGCAACCUCUGCCUCCUGGGUUCAAGGGAUUCUCCUGCCUCAGCCUCGUGAGUAGCUGGGAUUACAGGCAUGCGCCACCACGGCCAGCGAAUCUUGUAUUUUUAGUAGAGACGGGGUUUCUCCAUGUUGGUCAGGCUGGUCUCAAACUCCAGACCUCAGGUGAUCCGCCCACCUCAGCCUCCCAAAGUGCUGGGAUUACAGACAGGAGCCACCGCGCCCAGCCUGGGGAGUGGCUAUUGGAUAAGUGGAGGCUAUCUAUUGGCUUCUUGCUCACUUGCAUUCCUGCAAGAUGACUACUUUGUCAUAAGCCCCCUGUGCCAUUCCUGGGGGCGGAGGGAGGGGGCGGUGGAGCCGAUGGCUGUAGCUGCUGAAGUUUACUGGCUAAAUCUGUCUACUUGGUUAUUUAAUGCUGCUUACAUGUUGGAUUGUCUCUGGCAGAUAAAGAUUGUGUUAUACAAUACAAAAAGCCCUCCUUAUGUGCCAUAUCUCAUAUAUUUCUCCUCUGCUUCUCCAGACUUCUUGUCCCUGAUAUACCAGUCUUAUUCCAGACCCCUGAUCAACUAGCCAACUUAUUUGCCAUGAAAAUAUGUUCUUACUUCAAGACACUUUCUUUCCACACAAAGUUGAUGCCCAGGAAUACUGCCCCACAUUAUGCCUUUUGGGAGGGUUCUCCUCACUGCUGUCUUUUAAGGCCAGUCCUGUGUGGGGCUGUAGGGCAGUAGCAGUCCAUUUUUGUCUUGAACCUAUAUUCCAAGAAACCUCAGUGAAUUCAGCUCAGGCUUUUUUGUCCUCCAUAAGCUAGACAUGAGAGCCUCCCAAGUGUCCGUAAUUGUGAGCUGAGGAAGGGACAUUGGUAAAGAAUCAGAUAUGACAUGGGAGCCUGACCACCUGCCUUUGCCCAGCUCAUGAUGGGCCUCUCUGGCUACAUGGUCACUUGAUGUCCAUAAUCAGUUCUUACCAAGGCACAUUAGCAUGGAUAGAGUUGUUUUUGGGAUUUUGCACUGCAGAUGGCCCAGCCUUGCCACAGAAUGCCAGAAGUCGACCUUGUGAUUCUCCCAUUGGAGCUUGCCUUCAACUUUCAUGGCUUCUUAUCACAUUUACUCUUGUCCCAUAGAAUAUCCUGAAUUGGUCCAUGCAACAGGGCUAAAUACACCAUACCUGCUAGAGAACUUUUACAUGCUAUGGAUCCCACUGAAAACUGGCAGAUUUCUAUCUCACCCAGUUUACGAGUCAGAACAGUACUGCCAACUUCUGAAUUCCCACAGAAGCCUACACAGCUUGGUGUGCUUCCCUGGUGGCUGAAUAAUUUUGGUGAAAUGAGUGGGUGAGAUGCAAUAAUUUGUCCUUUACUGUGAAGGGGAUAUCUUGGCAUUCAAGCAGCCUACUGGGCCCUAAAAGUUUCAUGGAGGUAACAGCUUGAGGGUCUUAAGGAUUAUUUCCCAUCCUCCAGUGUACAGUAUGCUAGCUGCUUAUUAUUCACCUUACCCAGCUAGCAUGAUGUCAUCAAUGUGGUAGGUCAUUGUGACAUUAUGUGGGAUGUUCAGAUGGUCUAGAUCUCUUUGGAUUAUGACGCAGUGUGGAAGAGUUAACAUAACCCUAAGCCAAUACUAUAAAUGGGUACUGCUGUCCUAUAUAAACACAAACUUAAUUCUUGUCCAGCACUCUCAGGACCCAGUUCCAUACACAUGCUCAUGGUUCCUGUUGGUACAUGUUGGUUAGAUCCUGCAUCUCUUUGGUCAUAUAAGCCCAUUUGGAAUUGAAAGUAGACACACAGAAUGAGGGCAAAACACCUGCAGAACAGCUGCUUCAUCAUGGUGGGCUUUUUUCAUAUUAGGUUUUGUUACCUUUGAGUUUUUAAAUUAUGUGUAAAGCUUCGAUUAAAAAAAUAAAAAUUAUUAAAAAGAAACUGAGACAGUCUGUCUAUCCACCUAUCUCUAUUUACCCAGUGCUGUUGUUGUGUUACAUAAAAUUCAAUUUUAGCUUCAUUCAUAUUCAUGCAAUAUUUUCGUUUACCCUUGAUUCGACCUUGACCUUUAAAAAGCCAAAAAGACAAAUACCUAUUCUGACACUGGUUCUGAUCUCUCUGAAAUUCUGUGUGACCAAUGGUCAAGUAACCUUGCAGGUUAUUUAUCAUGUCUAAUCUGAAAAAAGUCAUUGUAUUUACUAGUAUUUUAAUAUUCACCUUAUAGGUAAGCAUUCUAAACAUGAUUGUGGCAAGAAAUUCUUAUAUGCUUUACAUGUUGAAAUUCUGUGUCAAAUGAAGUACAUAUGUAUAUUAUUGCAAGAGUGAAUUUCUUCAGUAAUGAUUGUGACAGCUAGUAAAUUUAAGUAGAAAGUAAUUAUAAACUUCCAAAUACUUUUUUUAAAUGGGCAAAAUAUAUGAAACAAUGGCCCUGAAGGCAUUGGACAUAGGCAGUGAAGGACAGUAAUCCAUGAGAGAUGGAAUGCAAACAAGGUGAGCAAUACAAUUGCUCCAACUUGCUGCCUAAAGAAAGGCUUUGGCAUGGGGAGAGGGAACCCAGAAGACUCUGUGAGGUGAGGAUAUAUAAGUGGGAGUCCUGAGAGCCCAAGGCAACUAGAGUUCACAGGGUAGAAUAUAGAGAGGACAGAGUGACACAGAGAGAACUCCAGAGAUCUGCUGACCAUUCUCCUAAAGUAUUAAGCUAAAUAAUGAUUAGUACAUGCAUGACAGGAAAUAACCAAAGGCUUGGCAAAGAACCAUCAAAAAGGAUUAAAGAAAACAAUACUCAAAGCUCACACAGGAUGGUGAAUGAUUCCUGAUCCCGUCAGCAAGAGUGGAAAAGAUCCUAAUUCACAAGGCACCAGUUAGAGUACUAAGAAAGGUCUUGCUUCAAUAGCGGGAAAAAUUAACCCUCGACUAAAUGCUCUAGAAUAACCUAACAAAGCUCAAAAGCAAGACCCAAAAACAUUCAAACUGUGUCCAAAUAACUUAAUCAUACUCCAGAAGAAAGUUCAAACUAUUUUAGGGAUAUGAAAAUAAUCUACAAAGUAAAAUUCACAAUGGCUGGCAUCCAAUCAAAAAUUACCAGGCAUGCAACAGAAAAAUACAACCCAUAAUAAGAAAAAUAAAACAUUCUGGGCUAGGUGCAGUGGCUCACACCUGUAAUCCCAGCACUUUGGGAGGCCAAGGUAGGUGGAUGACCUGAGGUCAGGAGUUCGAGACCAGCCUGGCCAACAUGGCAAAACCCCGUCUCUACUAAAAAUACAAAAAUUAGCAGGGAGUGGUGGUGCUCACCUGUAGUCCCAGCUAUUCAGGAGGCUAAGGCAGGAGAAUUGCUUGAACCCAGGAGGCAGAGGUUGCAGUGAGAUCGUGCCAAUGCACUCCAGCCUGGGCAACAGAGCAAGACUCCAUCUCAAAACAAACAAAAAAUAAAACAUUCUGUCAAAACUGACUCAGAAAUUACAGAUGAUGAAGAUUAUUAGACAAGGACAUUAAAACAGUUAUUAUAAUUAUAUUCCAUAUAUUCAAGAAACCAGAGGAAAGACUGAAGAUAUUACAGACAAUGAAGGUAUAAAAAGACCCAUAUCAAACUUCUAGAGAUGAAAACUCCAAUGUCUGAGAUGAAAAAUAUGUUAGAUGAGAUUAAUGGCAGAUUAGAUAUUGCAGAAAGAAAGAUUAGUGAACUUGAAGACGCAGCAGUAGAACCUCCCUGAAACAGAGAGAAAAAAGAAUAAAA